Molecule: long non-coding RNA, 427 nt
Organism: Nematostella vectensis (starlet sea anemone)
Lineage: Eukaryota; Metazoa; Cnidaria; Anthozoa; Actiniaria; Edwardsiidae
Exons: 2
Source: RefSeq, a predicted model, not a curated record
CCUUUACAGACAAGAUCACCUUUUCCUUCUACCUUUCUGCUGCAGAGUUUCUUUUUAUACAAAAAGAGUUCUCUUCAGAUGCUGGACCAUUUGGCAGAUAUUGCUUUAUUGAGCAUAGGCAAGUCUUUCACAAAAUGGUUUUGCUUGGUGCAAAGUCAGACUUGAUCUUGAUGGUCAAUAGACCAGUGUUUCUGUGGAAAAGCCCUAUCACAUGCUGGGAACCAAGGCACCAUACAGAUUUGUUUCUAUAGCCUCAGGAAACACACUGGGGUCCAGUGUGAAAUGACUGUCAUAGACUAAACAACUUGUACAUCACCAGCUAUUCCAAGGAUUGUUAAUAGGGUUAAUGGUAAGAAAACUGAAACAGGCUUCAUGAAUCAAGAAAGCUUUGAAAAAUGUCACUUCACAAGACUAGAACACAUAAAAA